This 468-nucleotide ribosomal RNA is filed under the name uncultured bacterium. RNAcentral's name for it is "partial 16S ribosomal RNA". It matches the Rfam family "Bacterial small subunit ribosomal RNA", at positions 28 to 507 of the family's 1533-position model. The record is from RNAcentral.
GAUGAACGCUGGCGGCGUGCUUAACACAUGCAAGUCGAACGGAAAGGCCCAAGCUUGCUCGGGUACUCGAGUGGCGAACGGGUGAGUAACACGUGGGUGAUCUGCCCUGCACUUCGGGAUAAGCCUGGGAAACUGGGUCUAAUACCGGAUAGGACGAUGGUUUGGAUGCCAUUGUGGAAAGUUUUUUCGGUGUGGGAUGAGCUCGCGGCCUAUCAGCUUGUUGGUGGGGUAAUGGCCUACCAAGGCGUCGACGGGUAGCCGGCCUGAGAGGGUGUACGGCCACAUUGGGACUGAGAUACGGCCCAGACUCCUACGGGAGGCAGCAGUGGGGAAUAUUGCACAAUGGGCGCAAGCCUGAUGCAGCGACGCCGCGUGGGGGAUGACGGCUUUCGGGUUGUAAACUCCUUUCGCUAGGGACGAAGCGUUUUUGUGACGGUACCUGGAGAAGAAGCACCGGCUAACUACGUG